GGAACCAAGACUUCCAGGGAAGGGGAGAGACUGGCGCUUCCAGCAGGUCACAGACAGACAGAUGUCUCCUUGAGCAUGAAUUAGAGGUGUGGUUGAAUGUGGGAGAACCUGAGAUCUGAUGCCCAACAUUGUGUGAAGGGGCCCAGUGGGGACAUGACGAGCUCUGUGCUCACAGGUGGCAGCUCCCCAUUCCAAGCCAAGCUGCACAUGACUCCAGGAGCCUUUCCUGAACACACAGGCGCCAUGGUGAAUUCACCACGUGUUCUAUGUCUCCUUUCCCCUGUGUGCUCAGCAAGAGUUUCAGCCCCAGGAACAUGGAUCUUACGUGGUAUAUUUUACUCCUCAACACUUGAUCAUAGUCACUAAAAGUACUUGUGAGAUAAAUCUUCCUGGUGACACUUUGUGCACUUGAGUUUUACAAGCUAAGACAGUCAACGAUGGCGCAGAAAUGAGGAUCCAGAAGUUGGUGGGCCUCCUGAAUAGAGGAUUUUCAUCCUGUGCUUUGCCCUUCAGAGGGAUGCGGGUGUCACAGGUCCACGGUCCUAUGGCUUUCUGCUCCUACUUUGGCACUCACCUGCCUAUUUCUCUCAUAGACACACACUCUCUGUGCUGCAACUUCAUUCUCAUGCCUGGUACCACACCUAGAGAGUGCCACUAUGCAGUAAAGUGCUCAGUGGAUGACGUGGUUUUCAUUCAGUUUAAUGAAACUGAGGUCGAACUUUCGAAUAACAUGGGAAAAACAGCAGAUGCCACCAACGUAUUGACAGAAUUCAAUCGAAUCCUGAUAAGUGUUUUAGGAUUGUUGAAUCUACUACUACUUGACAUGAAAACAGAGACCAGAGGAGAUCACAUCUUACAGGGCACCAUGAUAACUCAGUGUACACAAGGCCAACUCACUAAUGCUUUCUAUAACCUCACCAUUGAUGGACAUCCUUUCGCAAGCUUCAAUUCAAUUAGCAAGAAUUGGACAGUGUAUAACAAUGAUACCAUAAGGACAUGGAAGAUAAACAGAGAACUAGAACGGGCUCUCAGGACGUUCUCCAUGGGAGAUUCCCUUCAGUGGCUCAACAGAUUCUCACCACACCGGGAAGAAAGGCCAAGUAAGUCAUUAGGUGGUUAGGGCAAAGCGACGU
This 1133-nucleotide long non-coding RNA is filed under the name Meriones unguiculatus (Mongolian gerbil). RNAcentral's name for it is "lncRNA (ENSMUGG00000005495.1)". Lineage: Eukaryota; Metazoa; Chordata; Mammalia; Rodentia; Muridae. The record is from RNAcentral.